UACCCGCAGCACAAGUGGUGGUCAUUAUUAUUGGGCCUAAAGCGUCCGUAGCUGGCGUGUUAGAUGCCUGGGUAAAUCGAUGCGCUCAACGCAUCGACUUCCGGGUAGACCGGCACGCUCGAGACCGGGAGAGGUAUGGGGUACUCGGGGGGUAGGGGUAAAAUCCUGUAAUCCUCCGGGGACGACCAGUGGCGAAGGCGCCAUACUAGAACGGCUCUGACAGUGAGGGACGAAGCCCUGGGGCGCAAACCGG
This 253-nucleotide ribosomal RNA is filed under the name uncultured bacterium. RNAcentral's name for it is "partial 16S ribosomal RNA". It matches the Rfam family "Archaeal small subunit ribosomal RNA", at positions 474 to 727 of the family's 1478-position model. The record is from RNAcentral.